UCUUCCGGAGAUAUAGCAAGUUAGAGAAGGAAAGCGAAUCUAUUGUUACUGUAAGCUGUAACUGAUUUUGAUUGACAUAUCGUAAGUAGUCAGCCACGCUUGUGACGACUGGAGUAAGCUCCUAAGUAUUUUGAAUAUUUUGCGAAAAUCGUGGUUUAUUUUUAGUUAAUAGGAUUGUAUUCAACAAUGGUUAAUUGUUCAGUAGUUACAUGUGGUGUUAAUCAUAAAAAUAAUCCUGAAAAUUGCACAUUUCACAGAUUCCCUUUAGAUCCUGUUGUUAGAGAAAAAUGGUUAAUAUUAAUUGGGCGAGUUGAUUGGACUCCAAGGAAGAGUUCUACUAUUUGCAGCAAACAUUUUCCUGAUCUAUAUAAAAGAAAAAUUCGAAUGAAUACAAUUUUAGUUAAAGGUGCCCUUCCAACUUUAUUUGUACCUGGACACAUAAAAGAAGAAGUCCCAAUAUUGUGUGUUAAUAAUAUACCUUCGACAUCUCAAUGGCCAGAAAUUAGUGUUCCACUUUCACCUAGUAUAAAAAAACUCAUGUCCAAAAACUUCAAAUUAAAACAAAGGCUGCGAGAAAAGCAAAGGAAAAUACGAACCUUAGUAGCAAGAACUAAAAGACAGUCUUUCAAAAUAGCUGUAUUACAAAACAUGCUAAAAGGAAUUCACCCACAACCGGGCUUAAUAGAACAGUACACUGAUCUCACUGUGGCAUGGGGUAGUGAAUUAACACAGUAUUUAAUAAACAGAGUUAAUGAUAAAAAAUGUGAUAAUUUACAGUCUUCAACGAAAGACAGUGAAGAAUAAUGAAAGUUUUCUAUUAAACAUUUCAAGAGCAUUUAAUUCCUAUAAGAGUGAAAAUUUAAUUUGUGUCUUCCACAUGAGACACACACUUCUAACACAUUGAGUACCUGUUACUCUAGACUAGACCGUGAAUUUGGAUUUAUGCAAGAACCCAUUAACACAAAGUAAUGAAAUACAUAAGGGAACACAUAGUUAUGAAGCAAAUUUAUAAAUUUCAUUUUAUUAUUUAAGUUUGUGUAAAUAGAUUUUAAAUUAAUAAAUAGGUAUAAGUAGUACUUGUGUGACUAUGGUGAGAUUCCAAAUUGCCGAUUCCAUGCAAUAUCAUAAUUUAAACUCCAGCAUUCCCACUGCUGUGACUGAAAUUACAGGUAUUUUCAGAGGAGCUUUUUAGAAUUUUUCUCGGUAAUUGCUAGCAUAACAAACAGGAAGGAUAAUGCCAAGAUUCAACAUAGAUAGGUACCUAUAUAAACCCACAGCGACAAUUGUAUAUGGUGUAUAUGUCCCAGCAUGUAAUAAAACUUUAGGAAUAGUAACUAUAAACUAUUUCAUUGACGAAUAUACUCAGUAUAGAGGGUCAAUUCCAAAACCCUACCAAUUUGCAGCUACUUUUAUUUUUAUCGUAGCAAAAUUAACCUUAAUUUGUAAAAAACUGGCAGUUUAAAUUCUAAGUUUUUGUGAUUGCAGAAGGAAUUAAUGUACGCGUUGGAAAAAAAAAAAGAAUAAAUAGGUAGCUAUUGUGAAUGGUAAUUUCAUUAAAAUAAUAAUCACUUUAAAUUAGAUUGUUUCAGCGUCUUAGGGACGCUUAAAAAUUUAAAUUUGGAUUGCAAUGAUCGAUAGUCGAUACAUGCCAUCGGUCGAUGGUAGAAUGGAUUAGUCUACGUCGAUCGAUAGUUUCUACCAGACCAAUCGAUCGAUUGUCGAUCGACGAUCGAUCGAUGGUAGAAUGGAUAAGUCGACGUCGAUCGUGCUGCUUGAGCUUCCCAAGUCACCCGGUGCCCCCCGCGCCCCGCACGCUUACUACGUGGCCUACUUGUGUUUAUGUCUUCAGUUGUGUGAAGCUCGCGGUCGUUAAUGCUGGUUUGUUCUCGUGGCGUGCAAAAUGGCGGUAACCGCGUGGACGAAUGAAAGACCUUUAGAAUUUAUAGAGCAAUACAAAAACAAACCUUUACUUUGGGACAUUGUCCACACUGAUUAUCAAAAUAGAAUAAAACGUCAUGAUGAACUUCUCGAAAUAGCCAACUCAUUUGAAAUUACUAAGGAGGAAGCGGAAAAAAGAUAAUAAAUUUACAAUCAACAUUUUCGAAAGAAAAAAAAAAGUUAAAGAUAGUUUGAGAAGCGGUGCGGGACGAGACGAAUUAUACGUUUCUAAAUGGUAUGCAUUUCAAGCUAUGAUGUUCAUACAAGAAAGGAAUCGCCCAUGAUCUACCGCGUCUACAGAGGAUCAGCCUCAUUCCAGCAUGUCAAGUAAUUUUCAGGUAAAUUCAUUAACAUCUGAGUCGGGGAUGGACAGUUCCAUUGAUAGUGAAGAUCCUCGUAAAAGGCGCUUCAAACCAAAUGAUGCCGCUAUAGAAAAAACGUUGGACAUGGUUGAUUCUUUGAUUCGCAAUAGAAAAGAUGUUGAUGAGUAUGCAUUAUUUGGAGAACAAAUAGCAUUUAAAUUGAGGUCACUAAACACAGACUACGCACCUAUUACCGUGCAGCAUCAUAUAAAUAACCUAAUUUACGAAGCUAACUUGGUAAAUAUUACUAUCCAGAAACUCAAAAUGAAGGCUACUCCACUACACUAUAUUCUACAGGUGCUACUAUCUUCAAAUCAAUCUGACUUGCAUGAAAAUUAAACAAUGUUUUUAUAUGGUUACUGUUUUUCUGAAAGAUUUUUAAUAAACCUGAAACACUA
Leptidea sinapis is the source of this 2698-nucleotide long non-coding RNA. RefSeq lists it as uncharacterized. The record is from RefSeq and is a predicted model, not a curated record. Lineage: Eukaryota; Metazoa; Arthropoda; Insecta; Lepidoptera; Pieridae. The transcript is spliced from 4 exons.